This 419-nucleotide ribosomal RNA is filed under the name uncultured archaeon. Its description in RNAcentral is "partial 16S ribosomal RNA". It matches the Rfam family "Archaeal small subunit ribosomal RNA", at positions 323 to 746 of the family's 1478-position model. The record is from RNAcentral.
CUACGGGGUGCUGCAGGCAGGAAAACUUUACAAUGCACGAAAGUGUGAUAAGGGAAUCCUAAGUGCUUGCCAUUGGUGAGCUUUUGUCAAGUGUAAAUACCUUGACGAAUAAGUGGUGGGCAAGACCGGUGCCAGCAGCCGCGGUAACACCGGCGCCACGAGUGGUAAUCAUGUUUAUUUGGCCUAAAGCGUCCGUAGCCGAUUGAGUCAGUCUUUUGUUAAAUUGUUGUGCUUAACACAGCAGCUGCAAGAGAUACUGCUCAGUUAGAGACCGGGAGGAGACAGAGGUACUUCAAGGGUAGCGGUAGAAUGCGAUAAUCCUUGGAUGACCACCAAUGGCGAAGGCAUCUGUCUAGAACGGGUCUGACGGUGAGGGACGAAAGCUAGGGGAGCAAAAGGGAUUAGAUACCCCGGUAGUC